Molecule: ribosomal RNA, 172 nt
Filed under: Ditylenchus gigas
Lineage: Eukaryota; Metazoa; Nematoda; Chromadorea; Rhabditida; Anguinidae
Description: partial 18S ribosomal RNA
Rfam family: Eukaryotic small subunit ribosomal RNA
Source: RNAcentral
GUACACACCGCCCGUCGCUGCCCGGGACUGAGCCAUUUCGAGAAAUUCGGGGAUUGCCGAUUAGCGGUCUUUCGGGAUUGCUUUUUGGUGAGAACCAACUUAAUCGCAGUGGCUUGAACCGGGCAAAAGUCGUAACAAGGUGGCUGUAGGUGAGCCUGCUGCCGGAUCAUUA